RNAcentral lists this unclassified non-coding RNA (205 nucleotides) under uncultured fungus. RNAcentral's name for it is "sequence contains ITS1". The record is from RNAcentral. Lineage: Eukaryota; Fungi.
UUUAACGAUUUUUAUUUAGAUUCAGACAGACACAUUUAAAAGAAUUUGAGAAGGCUACUGGCGGGCACGGGCCAGGGAUGUAACACCCCCGGCGGCCCAGGGGCGGGCCCGCCAAAGCAACAUGGUUUGGUAAACAAAGGGUUGGAGGUCGGGCCUGGAAGACCCUUACUCGGUAAUGAUCCUUCCGCAGGUUCACCUACGGAAA